AUACGUAGGUGGCAAGCGUUAUCCGGAAUUAUUGGGCGUAAAGGGUGCGUAGGCGGUUGAUUAAGUUUUAGGUGAAAGCGUGGGGCUCAACUCCAUACAGCCUAAGAAACUGGUCAACUAGAGUGCAGAAGAGGGUAGUGGAAUUCCAUGUGUAGCGGUAAAAUGCGUAGAUAUAUGGAGGAACACCAGUGGCGAAGGCGGCUACCUGGUCUGUAACUGACGCUCAAGCACGAAAGCGUGGGGAGCAAAUAGGAUUAGAUACCCUAGUAGUCCACGCCGUAAACGAUGGAUACUAAGUGUUGGGGAAACUCAGUGCUGCAGUUAACGCAAUAAGUAUCCCGCCUGGGGAGUACGACCGCAAGGUUGAA
This 368-nucleotide ribosomal RNA is filed under the name uncultured bacterium. RNAcentral describes it as "bacterial SSU rRNA". It matches the Rfam family "Bacterial small subunit ribosomal RNA", at positions 523 to 898 of the family's 1533-position model. The record is from RNAcentral.